CUACGGGUGGCAGCAGUGGGGAAUAUUGCACAAUGGAGGGAACUCUGAUGCAGCAACGCCGCGUGGAGGAUGACGCAUUUCGGUGUGUAAACUCCUUUUAUAUAGGAAGAUAAUGACGGUACUAUAUGAAUAAGCACCGGCUAACUCCGUGCCAGCAGCCGCGGUAAUACGGAGGGUGCAAGCGUUACUCGGAAUCACUGGGCGUAAAGCGCAUGCAGGCGGUUAAAUAAGUUGGAAGUGAAAUCCUAUUGCUCAACCAUAGAACUGCUUCCAAAACUGUUUAACUAGAGUCUGGGAGGGGAAGAUGGAAUUAGUAGUGUAGGGGUAAAAUCCGUAGAGAUUACUAGGAAUACCAAAAGCGAAGGCGAUCUUCUGGAACAGUACUGACGCUGAGAUGCGAAAGCGUGGGGAGCAAACAGGAUUAGAUACCCCGGUAGUC
This 439-nucleotide ribosomal RNA is filed under the name uncultured bacterium. RNAcentral describes it as "partial 16S ribosomal RNA". It matches the Rfam family "Bacterial small subunit ribosomal RNA", at positions 339 to 795 of the family's 1533-position model. The record is from RNAcentral.